Molecule: long non-coding RNA, 655 nt
Filed under: Homo sapiens (human)
Lineage: Eukaryota; Metazoa; Chordata; Mammalia; Primates; Hominidae
Description: HSALNT0370715
Source: RNAcentral
AAAUCACUUUGUCCUCACCAGACCUCAUACCCUGCCUUUUAUGGACGAUGCCACCAUCUGAUGUUUAACUGAGAGGUAAGGGGAGAAGAGUAAACUGGAAAGCUAGGAACAGAAGUGGAGUUGGGGACCAGCCUGUUUCCCACUUUGUGAUAUGCUGUUUAUCCUGAGAAAUUGACAAACAUCCAACUUCAGCCUCAGAUUGAGAAACUUUUAGAGUGGCCAUUCCUCCCGAAUUUUCAACUCACGUCCACCUAAUUGCUGCUCACCUUCCCAGGGUCUGUCCAGUCAGGAACAGUUUCAGAAUGUGGCUUUUUCAUCCCAGCUGCUUCCACAAUUCUAGGGCCCUUUUUCCUCUUCAGAAGAUUGACAACUGGACAUCUAUUGCCCAUUUGAAAAGAACCUACCUACAAUGGCCUUUGACCAAGCAGGCCUGCAUUCAGAACUAAAUAGUCAACGAAAGGGCACAUUUUCCAACCUCAACCCAGCUAGCUAAGAGUUUCCCAUGAUACCUUGAAGAGCAUCACUUUGCCACAUCCUCUACCCUUCUCUGUAUCUAUGGGCUAGCCUGGGUUGAAACUGCUAAAAUAAAAGACAAAGGAAUGCUUCCUCAUUAUUUCCACUUUGUGUGGUUUGAAAUGCUUACCUUUGGCCAGGC